RNAcentral lists this ribosomal RNA (253 nucleotides) under uncultured bacterium. Its description in RNAcentral is "partial 16S ribosomal RNA". It matches the Rfam family "Bacterial small subunit ribosomal RNA", at positions 524 to 776 of the family's 1533-position model. The record is from RNAcentral.
UACAGAGGAUGCAAGCGUUAUCCGGAAUGAUUGGGCGUAAAGCGUCUGUAGGUGGCUUUUUAAGUCCGCCGUCAAAUCCCAGGGCUCAACUCUGGACAGGCGGUGGAAACUACCAAGCUGGAGUACGGUAGGGGCAGAGGGAAUUUCCGGUGGAGCGGUGAAAUGCGCAGAUAUCAGGAGGAACACCCAUGGCGAAGGCAGUAGACUGGGCAUCUCCUGACGCUGAGGCGCGAAAGCGUGGGUAGCAAACAGG